Molecule: long non-coding RNA, 1102 nt
Filed under: Nicotiana tabacum (common tobacco)
Lineage: Eukaryota; Viridiplantae; Streptophyta; Magnoliopsida; Solanales; Solanaceae
Description: long non-coding RNA (NTAB_LNC013170)
Source: RNAcentral
CAAUGGUAGAUUGAGUUGAGUUGUUUGAAGAGUUGCUUAAGAUGUAUUAAGGACUCACCAUGGUUAAGGUAUGUUAAGGCACUUCCCUCUUUCUUUUGGCAUGGUCUAAAGUGAAAUGAAUACACUAUUUCGUAACAGAUCUACUCCUAGAAACUAAGGUUGCCCAUGUUGUUCUUUCCUUAUAAAGUUAUUCUAAGCAAGUAUGUAUGAUCCUUGAAUCCUAUAGAAACUCAUAUUGAUGGUAUGAUUUCCACAAUGUUAAUUGAAGGUGCAACGACCUUAAGUCACUCCAAAAGGUUUAGAACGUGAUUCCAUGAGUUUAACAUGCAUUAUAUAUAAUAUCUAUUUUACUCUACCGAGCCGCACUAUAGUAGGUCGGGUACGAUAUAUAUUGUGUAACCACUGAUCAGUUGGAUUUACCGAGCUUCACAUGGCCGAGUACGAUUCUACCGAGCCUUAUGAUGGCCGGGUACGUUUUUACUUAGUCCUCUUUGAGGUCGGGUACGAUAUGAUGAUGAUGAUGAUGAUGCCUACAGACGCGUAUAUUUUUAAAAGUUUAUGUAUAUAUAUAUGUAUUACGCAUUUCAUGUCAGUAGCCCACAGAGGCACGCAUAUGUUACAGGUUGUAUCUCCUCUAUCUCUCUUUAUAUUACUAUUCUUGUUUAUGCUUUCCUGCUUUACAUACUCGGUACUUUAUUGGUACUGACGUCCCUUUUGCCUGGGGACCUGCGUUUCAUGCCUGCAGGUCCCAAUUGAUAGGUUGACAUUCCUCCUAGUAGGCUAUCAGCUCAGCGGAGGUGUUGGUGCACUCCACUUGCUCCGGAGUUGCCUAUUUGGUCAGUAUGCUUUAGAUAUAUAUUGAUUGACAUGGUAGGGCCCUAUCUCGACCUUUAUGAUUUUAUGUAAUCUUAGAGGCUUGUAGACAUAUGUUAUGUAUAUGAAAAUCAUAUGGCCUUAUCGGCCUAUGUUCAGUGUAUGAGUUAUCACUUUGGUUUUAUAGGCACGUAUGUCACAUGUAUAAGUUUUCAUGUCAUGUCAGGUCGUCCAAUAUUUAGUAUUCCCUUAUAUUUUAUUUUUGUUAUCUCAUGACGACCUUUCUAGG